Molecule: ribosomal RNA, 653 nt
Filed under: Streptomyces regensis
Lineage: Bacteria; Bacillati; Actinomycetota; Actinomycetes; Kitasatosporales; Streptomycetaceae
Description: bacterial LSU rRNA
Rfam family: Bacterial large subunit ribosomal RNA
Source: RNAcentral
ACAGUGGACGCGAGCAUCUGUGGCCAAGUUUUUAAGGGCGCACGGUGGAUGCCUUGGCACCAGGAACCGAUGAAGGACGUGGGAGGCCACGAUAGUCCCCGGGGAGUCGUCAACCAGGCUUUGAUCCGGGGGUUUCCGAAUGGGGAAACCCGGCAGUCGUCAUGGGCUGUCACCCGCUGCUGAACACAUAGGCAGUGUGGAGGGAACGCGGGGAAGUGAAACAUCUCAGUACCCGCAGGAAGAGAAAACAACCGUGAUUCCGGGAGUAGUGGCGAGCGAAACUGGAUGAGGCCAAACCGUAUGCGUGUGAGACCCGGCAGGGGUUGCGCAUGCGGGGUUGUGGGAUCUCUCUUCCACGGUCUGCCGGCCGUGGGACGAGUCAGAAACCGUUGAUGUAGGCGAAGGACAUGCGAAAGGUCCGGCGUAGAGGGUAAGACCCCCGUAGUCGAAACGUCAGCGGCUCGUUUGAGAGACACCCAAGUAGCACGGGGCCCGAGAAAUCCCGUGUGAAUCUGGCGGGACCACCCGCUAAGCCUAAAUAUUCCCUGGUGACCGAUAGCGGAUAGUACCGUGAGGGAAUGGUGAAAAGUACCCCGGGAGGGGAGUGAAAUAGUACCUGAAACCGUGUGCCUACAAGCCGUGGGAGCGUCGGA